GUAGUCCUUGCUGUAAACGAUGUAUACUAGGUGUAACUGGAUUCAACCCUGGUUGUGCCGUAGCCAACGCGUUAAGUAUACCGCCUGGGAAGUACACUCGCAAGGGUGAAACUCAAAAGAAUUGACGGGGACCCGCACAAGCAGUGGAGCAUGUGGUUUAAUUCGAUGCAACGCGAAGAACCUUACCCAGGCUUGACAUACAGAGGACCGCAUCAGAGAUGGUGCCUCCCUUCGGGGCCUCUGAACAGGUGCUGCAUGGCUGUCGUCAGCUCGUGCCGUGAGGUGUUGGGUUAAGUCCCGCAACGAGCGCAACCCUUGUCAUUAUUUGCCAACACGUGAUGGUGGGAACUUUAAUGAGACUGCCUAGGUCAACUAGGA
RNAcentral lists this ribosomal RNA (378 nucleotides) under uncultured bacterium. RNAcentral describes it as "bacterial SSU rRNA". It matches the Rfam family "Bacterial small subunit ribosomal RNA", at positions 790 to 1167 of the family's 1533-position model. The record is from RNAcentral.